RNAcentral lists this ribosomal RNA (327 nucleotides) under uncultured eukaryote. RNAcentral describes it as "partial 18S ribosomal RNA". It matches the Rfam family "Eukaryotic small subunit ribosomal RNA", at positions 1470 to 1796 of the family's 1831-position model. The record is from RNAcentral.
CCCCUAGAUGUUCUGGGCCGCACACGCGCUACACUGAAGGAGGCAGCGUGUACUCCUGGAUCGAAAGAUUUGGGUAACCCGCGAAUCUCCUUCGUGCUAGGGAUUGAGGUUUGCAAUUAUCCUUCAUGAACGAGGAAUUCCCAGUAAGUGCAAGUCAUAAGCUUGCGCUGACUACGUCCCUGCCCUUUGUACACACCGCCCGUCGCUACUACCGAUUGAAUGAUUUAGUGAGGACUUCGGACUGGGACCGAUGCGGCUUUCGGGCUGCGUCGGUAUUCUGGAAAGAUGUCCAAACUGUAUCAUUUAGAGGAAGUAAAANUCGUAACA